This 251-nucleotide ribosomal RNA is filed under the name uncultured bacterium. RNAcentral's name for it is "partial 16S ribosomal RNA". It matches the Rfam family "Bacterial small subunit ribosomal RNA", at positions 524 to 776 of the family's 1533-position model. The record is from RNAcentral.
UACGUAGGGGGCAAGCGUUGUCCGGAAUCAUUGGGCGUAAAGCGCGUAGGCGGCCCGGUAAGUCCGCUGUAAAAGUCAAAGGCUCAACCUUUGAAUGUCAGUGGAUACUGCCGGGCUAGAGUCCGGAAGAGGCGAGUGGAAUUCCUGGUGUAGCGGUGGAAUGCGCAGAUAUCAGGAGGAACACCAACGGCGAAGGCAGCUCGCUAGGACGGUACUGACGCUGAGGCGCGAAAGCGUGGGGAGCGAACAGG